AUGUUGGUGUUACUAAAUCAGCCUUACCCAGUACUGCCAUCUCUUCUUCUUCCUCCUCUCUUCUUCUUCCUCCUCUCUUCCCCAUCGUCGGCCGCACACCAUUUACUCCCGCUCACUGCUCGCCCGCCCGCGCCAUCUUCCUUGGUAGCUGCUCGCGUACCAUAUCCCCCCGCUCAAUGCUCGGCCACACAAGGAGAAGCUUCUUCGCUCGCUCGCCCGAAUCCAUCAAAGAAGGAUUGGCCAGUGCUGCCGGCUGGCAUCAAGUUCGAUCCCACGGAUCAGGAGCUGAUCGAGCACCUUGAGGCCAAAGUGAGUGCUGACAGCGUGAGAUUUCAGUCUCUCAUCGAUUUGUUCAUACCAACCAUUGACAGCGAGCAUGGCAUAUGCUACACCCAACCUGAGAAACUUCCAGGUAUCACACUGAGUGGCCUAAGUAAGCAUUUCUUCCAGCGCAAUUUCAGGGCGUUCAAAAGGGCCACGUGGACGUGUCGCAAGAUACAGUUGGAGUGCGGCAUGCACGCGAUGUGGUACAAGACCGACAAUACCUUGCCGGUGAUGGUCAACGACCGGCAGACGGGCAGCAAAAAGGUUCUGAUGCUGCACACCAACAAGAACUUCGACUAG
RNAcentral lists this ribosomal RNA (624 nucleotides) under Triticum aestivum (bread wheat). RNAcentral describes it as "partial small subunit ribosomal RNA". The record is from RNAcentral. Lineage: Eukaryota; Viridiplantae; Streptophyta; Magnoliopsida; Poales; Poaceae.